RNAcentral lists this ribosomal RNA (447 nucleotides) under uncultured Gammaproteobacteria bacterium. RNAcentral's name for it is "bacterial SSU rRNA". It matches the Rfam family "Bacterial small subunit ribosomal RNA", at positions 1077 to 1533 of the family's 1533-position model. The record is from RNAcentral. Lineage: Bacteria; Pseudomonadati; Pseudomonadota; Gammaproteobacteria.
UGGGUAGUCCGCACGAGCGCACCUUGUCAUUAGUUGCUACGAAAGGGCACUCUAAUGAGACUGCCGGUGACAAACCGGAGGAAGGUGGGGAUGACGUCAAGUCCUCAUGGCCCUUAUGGGUAGGGCUUCACACGUCAUGCAAUGGUCGGUACAGAGGGUUGCCAAGCCGCGAGGUGGAGCCAAUCCCAGAAAACCGAUCGUAGUCCGGAUCGCAGUCUGCAACUCGACUGCGUGAAGUCGGAAUCGCUAGUAAUCGCGGAUCAGAAUGCCGCGGUGAAUACGUUCCCGGGUCUUGUACACACCGCCCGUCACACCAUGGGAGUGGGUUCUACCAGAAGUGGCUAGUCUAACCGCAAGGAGGACGGUCACCACGGUAGGAUUCAUGACUGGGGUGAAGUCGUAACAAGGUAGCCGUAUCGGAAGGUGCGGCUGGAUCACCUCCUUUCU